This 497-nucleotide ribosomal RNA is filed under the name uncultured bacterium. RNAcentral's name for it is "partial 16S ribosomal RNA". It matches the Rfam family "Bacterial small subunit ribosomal RNA", at positions 28 to 507 of the family's 1533-position model. The record is from RNAcentral.
GACGAACGCUGGCGGCGUGCCUAAUACAUGCAAGUAGAACGCUGAAGAGAGGAGCUUGCUCUUCUUGGAUGAGUUGCGAACGGGUGAGUAACGCGUAGGUAACCUGCCUUGUAGCGGGGGAUAACUAUUGGAAACGAUAGCUAAUACCGCAUAACAAUGGAUGACACAUGUCAUUUAUUUGAAAGGGGCAAUUGUUCCACUACAAGAUGGACCUGCGUUGUAUUAGCUAGUAGGUGAGGUAAUGGCUCACCUAGGCGACGAUACAUAGCCGACCUGAGAGGGUGAUCGGCCACACUGGGACUGAGACGCGGCCCAGACUCCUACGGGAGGCAGCAGUAGGGAAUCUUCGGCAAUGGGGGCAACCCUGACCGAGCAACGCCGCGUGAGUGAAGAAGGGUUUCGGAUCGUAAAGCUCUGUUGUAAGUCAAGAACGGGUGUGAGAGUGGAAAGUUCACACUGUGACGGUAGCUUACCAGAAAGGGACGGCUAACUACGUG